This 49-nucleotide small RNA is filed under the name Caenorhabditis elegans. RNAcentral describes it as "Unclassified non-coding RNA C26E6.16". Lineage: Eukaryota; Metazoa; Nematoda; Chromadorea; Rhabditida; Rhabditidae. The record is from RNAcentral.
CGGACCCCUGCUGCGACCAGCUGGCGCCUGGCGCGACCAUUUUGUUCCC